RNAcentral lists this unclassified non-coding RNA (198 nucleotides) under uncultured fungus. RNAcentral describes it as "partial contains 18S rRNA, ITS1 and 5.8S rRNA". Lineage: Eukaryota; Fungi. The record is from RNAcentral.
UGGUGAACCAGCGGAGGGAUCAUUAUAGAGUUUUCUAAACUCCCAACCCAUGUGAACUUACCUUUUGUUGCCUCGGCAGAAGUUAUAGGUCUUCUUAUAGCUGCUGCCGGUGGACCAUUAAACCCUUGUUAUUUUAUGUAAUCUGAGCGUCUUAUUUUAAUAAGUCAAAACUUUCAACAACGGAUCUCUUGGUUCUGG